Transfer RNA from Coniosporium apollinis CBS 100218, 84 nucleotides. It matches the Rfam family "tRNA". From Rfam's summary of the family: Transfer RNA (tRNA) molecules are approximately 80 nucleotides in length. Their secondary structure includes four short double-helical elements and three loops (D, anti-codon, and T loops). Further hydrogen bonds mediate the characteristic L-shaped molecular structure. tRNAs have two regions of fundamental functional importance: the anti-codon, which is responsible for specific mRNA codon recognition, and the 3' end, to which the tRNAs corresponding amino acid is attached (by aminoacyl-tRNA synthetases). tRNAs cope with the degeneracy of the genetic code in two manners: having more than one tRNA (with a specific anti-codon) for a particular amino acid; and 'wobble' base-pairing, i.e. permitting non-standard base-pairing at the 3rd anti-codon position. NCBI's taxonomy places the organism in Eukaryota, Fungi, Ascomycota, Dothideomycetes. The record is from Rfam.
GGCUGGUUGGCGCAAUGGUAGCGCGUGCCCCUCCUAUCGCCGCCGGCAAGGGCAAGGUUGCGGGUUCGAGUCCCGUGCUGGUCG